Molecule: ribosomal RNA, 575 nt
Filed under: Campylobacter jejuni
Lineage: Bacteria; Pseudomonadati; Campylobacterota; Epsilonproteobacteria; Campylobacterales; Campylobacteraceae
Description: partial 23S ribosomal RNA
Rfam family: Bacterial large subunit ribosomal RNA
Source: RNAcentral
AAAGGUAAGCUACUAAGAGCGAAUGGUGGAUGCCUUGACUGGUAAAGGCGAUGAAGGACGUACUAGACUGCGAUAAGCUACGGGGAGCUGUCAAGAAGCUUUGAUCCGUAGAUUUCCGAAUGGGGCAACCCAAUGUAUAGAGAUAUACAUUACCUAUAUAGGAGCGAACGAGGGGAAUUGAAACAUCUUAGUACCCUCAGGAAAAGAAAUCAAUAGAGAUUGCGUCAGUAGCGGCGAGCGAAAGCGCAAGAGGGCAAACCCAGUGCUUGCACUGGGGGUUGUAGGACUGCAAUGUGCAAGAGGUAAGUUUAGCAGAACAUUCUGGAAAGUAUAACCAUAGAGGGUGAUAGUCCCGUAUGCGAAAAACAAACCUUAGCUAGCAGUAUCCUGAGUAGGGCGGGACACGAGGAAUCCUGUCUGAAUCCGGGUCGACCACGAUCCAACCCUAAAUACUAAUACCAGAUCGAUAGUGCACAAGUACCGUGAGGGAAAGGUGAAAAGAACUGAGGUGAUCAGAGUGAAAUAGAACCUGAAACCAUUUGCUUACAAUCAUUCAGAGCCCUAUGUAGCAAUAC